This 73-nucleotide transfer RNA is filed under the name Camelus ferus (Wild Bactrian camel). It matches the Rfam family "tRNA". From Rfam's summary of the family: Transfer RNA (tRNA) molecules are approximately 80 nucleotides in length. Their secondary structure includes four short double-helical elements and three loops (D, anti-codon, and T loops). Lineage: Eukaryota; Metazoa; Chordata; Mammalia; Artiodactyla; Camelidae. The record is from Rfam by way of RNAcentral.
GAGGGUAUAGCUCAAGUGGUAGAGCACAUGCUUAGUAUGCAUGAGGUCCUGGGUUCGAUCCCCAGUCCCUUCU